Homo sapiens (human) is the source of this 694-nucleotide long non-coding RNA. Ensembl annotates it as long intergenic non-protein coding RNA 2064. The record is from Ensembl. NCBI's taxonomy places the organism in Eukaryota, Metazoa, Chordata, Mammalia, Primates, Hominidae.
AGAAGAGGAAAGGCUGGGGGUUUCGGAUGGUUGUUUUUGAAGCCAUCAGUAUUCUUGAAGAAGCAGCAUAUCUUGAACUGUCCUAUGGGUGAAGGCUUUGAUGUGGUCCUGUAAAAACUGGCAUUGAAAUGGAUGGCAUCUGAUCCUGCUUCAUGUGAUUCUUCAUUUAGCUCUGGACUCUUUACAUCAUUAAGGUACCCUGAAUAUAUUCAGUAUGCUUAUGCAACAUGAAAAUGGCAAGGAUGAAGACCUUUAUGAUGAUCCAUUUCCAUUUAAUGAAUAGAAGAAGUGUUAUCAAUUCUGUUGAUGGACCCCUUAAUCUCUUCUACUGAUUAUCUUCUACUUGAACCAGUGCCAAAUUAAUGUUGCAAGCUUUGUCUUGAAAUAUUUUCUUCUGAGCAUCAGCCAGAGAUCACUGAUUGGUUCACAGGAAUAAGCAGGGUUACUCUAAACUGCUUGAAAAGGAAACCUCAAAAACAACUGAUGAAACUAGAAUUUAAUAACAAGUGUACCAUAAUUCUUGAAACAUAAUUUUUCUCUCUCUAGUCUUUCAUUUUUACCAAAGACAAAUCAUGAAACAUGCACUAACCAGUGGAAAAGCUUGCCUAAGUGAUUGUUGUCAUAAUGACACGGAUUCAAUGAAUAAUUCUAUUCAUGGAAUUUCAUCAGCUUAAUAAGGAAAGAGUAAACAAAA